Molecule: long non-coding RNA, 1626 nt
Filed under: Sorghum bicolor (sorghum)
Lineage: Eukaryota; Viridiplantae; Streptophyta; Magnoliopsida; Poales; Poaceae
Description: long non-coding RNA (SBIC_LNC017396)
Source: RNAcentral
AGGCACACAUGCUUUCAUAUAAAAUUCUUCGAGAUUAGAGUGAAGUGUCAUGGAGCUUAAGUCUUAAGUAAUCGAAAGAUAAAAUAGUUAAGUAAAGCACUAUUCCUCCUGUCUAUACUUCACCUUUGUUCUGGGGUUUUGUAUAAGUUUUCAAAAAUAAAACUCAGAGUUCCCAGCUAUGAUUCUCUCAAGUCUCUCUAUAUGUGGUAUUUGAGGAUCCUUACCAAAAUAUCACCUACCUAUAGCUAACGGAAUAUUUAAGUGGAGCUCAUAGGAGUGAAAAAUAGCUCAUACAUAUGUUGUCUAAUCGAGCCAUGGAUCCAGAGGAACUCAGCAUAUAUAAUAAAAUCAAGAUGUGCAUGUUUGGUGGAGUAAACGAUAGUGAUGGUAAAAAUGUAUAAGUGAAAAUAAAACUUACUUCUCAUUGCUCCUCAUAUUGCUAUCUCUCCUCUUAUUUGAUCUUUGCUUUGGAAGAACAUGGGCUAUCUCUUUCUUCCCUUUUUUUUCAGGUGGGUAGUAAAUACCCCUAAUUCUACUGUCGGACACUUGUCCAUUUUUUCCGCUCAGGUGGGCAUCUUUGUACCCCUAAUUCUACUCCAGACACUUGUCCACUUUACCUCUCGUCUCACUCUUUUUCUUUCUUUUUGAGGUUCCGGGCACUUGCCCCUUUUUAUUUCCUCGCAUAUUUUUUUUUGCAUAACCAAUGUCUCUUCUGCAUUGAAUCUUUUUAGAGAGAGAGAAUAACAACACUUGGGACAGUGAGUGAUAAUAUUUUUAGCAGAUUUUAAUGAAUGGUGGUGAAUAGUGUAGUGGAUAUGUGCAAGUGAAUAUCUUAAUUUAACCACAUGAAAAGCUCCUGAGGGUCUACACAGCUCGAUCAAACUCAAUGUGAAUAUAGUAAAAGAUGUUAUAGCAAGUAUGGCGGUGGUAGGAAGUUUAUCAUGCUAGGAACUCAUCAUGUGAUUUGUAAGUUUUCGAAAUGAAUCUCCAGAACUUAGUGUAGUAGGAACAAGAUAAAUAGUAGCUCAAACUUUAUAUCAUGCCUUUCUCUUGCCUAGACUUUAGUUUUAUGCUUCCCGUAGAUAGUAAAUUUUAUUUUUAGUAAUUCCUAGAAGAACUCUAAUAUAAAAGCUAGGUACUUGAAAGUAAGCAAACAGAGCAACUGUUCAUCAUUUCCAUCAAGCAUCUUUUUGGUCUUUUUAUUUUUCUAGAGAUUAACAUGGAAAAUAAAGCACACUUAUCUACGCACUCUUUUUAUUUUGUUUUCAUGUUUAUAGAAUGCAGUAAAUUAAAGCAAGAAAAUAUUUAUUUGGUUUUCUAUGUUUUUCUCUUUAAAAUAAAACACUAAAACAGAAAAGAAUAAAUAAGAAGGGCAAAUAAAAACUUACUUGAUAAAAUGGGGAGGAACUCCCCCAAGCUGGAUGUGGUUGUCGGUCUUACCCGAUGUUCUAGAAUCGCAUCAUGGUGGUGAUGUUGUCGUUCAUUGUUAUGGUGUCUGGUCUCAGUUCUUUUACUGCAGUGGCAUGGUCCUGGUUCCACUUUUGUUGCUGUUGCAGGAGUCGUCCAUGUUCUACUUGUGUAUUCUGGAUGUCGAGGAGGGUGUUGUCAGUACGGGUGAAGAAGGCA